CGCAAUGGACGAAAGUCUGACGGAGCAACGCCGCGUGAGUGAAGAAGGUUUUCGGAUCGUAAAACUCUGUUGUUAGGGAAGAACAAGUGCCGUUCGAAUAGGGCGGCACCUUGACGGUACCUAACCAGAAAGCCACGGCUAACUACGUGCCAGCAGCCGCGGUAAUACGUAGGUGGCAAGCGUUGUCCGGAAUUAUUGGGCGUAAAGCGCGCGCAGGUGGUUUCUUAAGUCUGAUGUGAAAGCCCACGGCUCAACCGUGGAGGGUCAUUGGAAACUGGGGAACUUGAGUGCAGAAGAGGAAAGUGGAAUUCCAAGUGUAGCGGUGAAAUGCGUAGAUAUUUGGAGGAACACCAGUGGCGAAGGCGACUUUCUGGUCUGUAACUGACACUGAGGCGCGAAAGCGUGGGGAGCAAACAGGAUUAGAUACCCUGGUAGUCCACGCCGUAAACGAUGAGUGCUAAGUGUUAGAGGGUUUCCGCCCUUUAGUGCUGCAGCUAACGCAUUAAGCACUCCGCCUGGGGAGUACGGUCGCAAGACUGAAACUCAAAGGAAUUGACGGGGGCCCGCACAAGCGGUGGAGCAUGUGGUU
Molecule: ribosomal RNA, 589 nt
Filed under: Bacillus sp. MMRF1023
Lineage: Bacteria; Bacillati; Bacillota; Bacilli; Caryophanales; Bacillaceae
Description: bacterial SSU rRNA
Rfam family: Bacterial small subunit ribosomal RNA
Source: RNAcentral